RNAcentral lists this ribosomal RNA (253 nucleotides) under uncultured bacterium. Its description in RNAcentral is "partial 16S ribosomal RNA". It matches the Rfam family "Bacterial small subunit ribosomal RNA", at positions 524 to 776 of the family's 1533-position model. The record is from RNAcentral.
UACGUAGGGUGCGAGCGUUAAUCGGAAUUACUGGGCGUAAAGCGUGCGCAGGCGGUGAUGUAAGACAGUUGUGAAAUCCCCGGGCUUAACCUGGGAAUUGCAUCUGUGACUGCAUCGCUAGAGUACGGUAGAGGGGGAUGGAAUUCCGCGUGUAGCAGUGAAAUGCGUAGAUAUGUGGAGGAACACCGAUGGCGAAGGCAAUCCCCUGGACCUGUACUGACGCUCAGGCGCGAAAGCGUGGGGAGCAAACAGG